CGCGCGCGAAAUUUUGUGUUAGUACUCACAACUCACUAUUGUGUUUGUAUGUGUAUGCGUUUCCUGCGUCGUCCUCGUAUUGUAUUUUCGAAAUGAUUUCGUUUCGAAGAUAGUGUUGUGGACUAUCGAAAGGCUGAAGUAUUUGAAAUUCUCCCGCAGUGGAAAACGCGUGUGUUGAAGCUGCACAGAAAUGAUUGUAAUGUGCAAGAAAUUAAAUCUUUAAACAUCCUUGUUGGUGUUAAAACAAGGGAGGAGUUUGGACAGUGGUUGGCACAGUUUGAAAACAUAACAAAAACAACUUGUACAAUAAGGUGCACUGAACCUGCAUCAGGAAAGUAUGUUGUUUUCAAACAAAGGCUGGUAUGUCACCACAAUACUCGCAGUAUAAAAGUUCAUGGUUCAGUGCAAAGGGCAACAAAAAACACUAACUGUCCAUCAAAAAUGACAGUGACAAUUCACACUGUGCAUGAUACAGAGGUAAGUCUGUAGAGAAAGCAAUGCUCUACAAGGAAAUGCCGUGUGAGGUUAACUUGGUGUUGGGUCAUAACCACAGUGUUGAGAGUGCUGCUGCUUUAAGAUUUAGGCAACCAUCAAGUGAUGGCAAAGAAAAAUUAAUAUCCCUGUUUGAAAGAGGUCAUUCAGCAGCCACUGCUCUUGAGUCAAUAAAGGUUGAAAUUCAGCUGAAUUGUUCAGAUUACCCUUUAGUCCUUGCAGACAGAAGCAGGUGUCCUGAUUACAACUUUUGCCACUAUUUGUUCAACAAAGUUUUAAGAAAAAGUAUGGGCCAACAGACUUCAACAAAGAAGGAAAGCAGCUGUUGCAACAGAGGAUAGAGGAAUACAACAGCGAAGUUGGAGCUGUGUGUGCCAAGAUGAUUCAGAAAGAUGAUGAUUAUAUAGUAUGCAUUUGCUCACCACUGAUGCAAAAAGUCCAUACUCAUGUAAAAGCUGCUUCCAAACUUGUAUUUAUGGAUUCCACUGGUUCUCUGGAUCAUGAUAGCAGCAGAGUGUUCGUUUUACUUACUCACAGUGAGUGUGGAGGUUUACCACUAGGAGUUCUGAUUAUGUCUUCAGAAAGCUGCGGAGUUAUAGAAAUGGGACUAGAGUUGCUGAAAGAGAUAGUGGGGGAAAAUAUUUUUGGGGGAAACAUCAAUGGCCCAAGUGUGUUUCUGACUGACGACAGCCAGUCAGAACAAAAUGCAAUUGGAAGGUGCUUCCCAAACACAAAAACUUUGUUGUGUAUAUUCCAUGUCCUGCAGGCAGUGUGACACUGGCUUCUCAAAGCAAAAAAUGCUAUACCACAGCAAAAACAGUGCGAAUUCUUCCAUAAUUUCAAAAAAAUAAUGUUUGCGCAAACAAAAAAUGAAGCAGUGGUAAACUAUAAUGUAACAAGAGCGAACAUCAGUGAAAAUCAUCAAAAUUUAUUGAAAUACUUGGAAGGGUAUUGGGAUAGGAGAGAACUGUGGACCCUUUCACAUCGGCGAGGUAUGCUUAUAGAAGGGCACAACGCAAAUAAUAUAAGUGAGGCCUUCAUGAGAAUUUUAAAGGACAGAAUUUUUGAGAGGGUGCGUGCCUUCAAUGUGGUUCAGAUGGUGGACUUUUUUCUCACAAAGGUGAAUUUGUAUUUUCAGAGGAGACUUCUUGAUGCUGCUAAUGGAGCAAGUCCUAAGUCUUUCUGUAGGCCUAUAAAGGCUCCUUCACAGGAGAUUCUAGCAAAAAUCAGGCAAGUCAAUGAGGAUGUUCUGCUCGUUCCCAGUGAAGAAAGGGAGAAUCAUUAUUACAUUGUUAAUAUGGCUGUUCUUGUUUGCACUUGUUGCCAAGGCAAUACAGGGAAGAUCUGCAAACAUAUAGACUGGGGCAUUACUGUUUUACCAUCAGGAAACUACAGGGAGGUGACGGAUAGUGACAGUAUACGUAGACUGUAUUAUUUUAUUGCUACAAAUGAGGAGACUCCUGAAGGGUGGCUAGAGCCUCUGUAUUGCUCUCAGAAUGCAGGGGGCUUCAAGUUCUUCGGAACGUUUGGAGCAAAUGGACACAGGUUUGCCCUGUGAAAGCCAAGAAGAGAUGCCAGAGACACUUCACAUGGAGACAGUUCCAGACAAAAGAAAUAAUGAUUUAAUCGACGAGAUAAAAGCUCGUCUCAUAGAUUUUUCAAAUAAAUCCCCUGAGGAAAUGAAGAAAGGCCUUGAAGUCAUGUGCGAAAAAUUGGGAAAGCUUAAAACGCCAUCUGCAUGUGCAUCUUAUUUGGCAAAUUUUGGUGAAGGAAAAUCUAGAAAAUAUCGUGGUAACUAUAUUCCCGUUCAGCCCACUGCAAUAAGCAGAAGAAAAAACAAGUUGGCAGGUCGCAGAUGUCAUCCGGGGGGGAAACAAAGACCACACUCUAAGCAAAGCAAGGAAUUUGUAAAGACAGUAGAAAUUUCUGAAAUGGCUACCUUUCCAUCACCAGCUAUGCAAUCAUCCCAGUCAGCUUCAGACUUUUGAAGGUGCACGACUGUUUACUGCAGCAUAGUGUGUAGGAUUUUCUUAAUCUGAGAUCCAACCUAAUGGAACUAUUAAGGGAAUGAUUGUAGUAAUUAAGUUUUUUCUUAAAGCUCAGGCCUAGCCUGACUGCUGAAAUAUAUUAAGUUUUUUUUGUUGUAGCUCUAGCUCGGGUCUGACCCGAUUAUUCCCGGCGGGGUCAGGUAUUUUCUCUGCCUCGUGAUGACUGGGUGUUGUGUGAUGCCCUUAGGUUAGUUAGGUUUAAUUAGUUCUAAGUUCUAGGGGACUGAUGACCAUAGAUGUUAAGUCCCAUAGUGCUCAGAGCCAUUUUCUAACCCGAUUAUUGAAAUAAGUUUUUUCUUAAAGCUCAGACCAAACUUACUAUUGAAAUAUAGAAGUUCUUCUUUAAAUUGGUAUAGCCCAAGAAUGUGGAUACUUAUUGUGUAUGUUGCACAAGUUUCUGGGAAAUGUGAAUUAUCUUUUCUUAAAAUGUAAACUACAUUUUAUAUUCUGCAUAUGACUUUUUUCAUUUACAUCUGUUCCUUCAGGUUACGUUAUUAAGUUUUUUACAACAUUAAUGCAUUUUUUUGUUUAGUUUAGGAUGGUUGCCUGAAAGUGUGUUCUCCCAGCAAAAAAAUCGUUUACUUCCCUUUUAGUUAAUUUGAGAUGGAAAAUUUUUGUUUAGACUCUACAUGCCAGAGGAAGUUAUCAUCAUAAGCAAUUCCUUUAUGCCAACCUUGGUGUAAAUGGGGGCAAUCUGUUCAUAAUUCCUAUUUAAAUGUGAUGCUUAUAUUAACAUUGCAAAAUAUCUUC
RNAcentral lists this unclassified non-coding RNA (3290 nucleotides) under Schistocerca americana (American grasshopper). RNAcentral's name for it is "uncharacterized LOC124616703, transcript variant X1". The record is from RNAcentral. Lineage: Eukaryota; Metazoa; Arthropoda; Insecta; Orthoptera; Acrididae.